Molecule: ribosomal RNA, 143 nt
Filed under: uncultured eukaryote
Lineage: Eukaryota
Description: partial 18S ribosomal RNA
Rfam family: Eukaryotic small subunit ribosomal RNA
Source: RNAcentral
UGGUGGAGUGAUUUGUCUGGUUAAUUCCGUUAACGAACGAGACCUCGACCUGCUAACUAGUUCGUCGAAUCCUCCGGGAUUCGGGCGCAACUUCUUAGAGGGACUAUCGGUGUUCUAGCCGAUGGAAGUUCGAGGCAAUAACA